AACAAAUCAUGAUGCAUAAUUUGACAUCUUGGUGAUAAAUUGAAAAAAAAGACCAUCUUUUUGGAAAUGAAUUCAACAUUUUCGAAAAAACAGACCAUCUUAUGUUUAAUAAAUAUAACAAUUCUCACGCAAAUACCAUGUUAUGUAGUGAAGAGUGAAGAUUAAUUGCUUUGUGGUUUACUAUUUGAAUGAUUCCGGUAGAUAAACAUGCGCAGGCCUGACAUAUAUAUGUCACUACUGAUGUUAGAGGAAUUCACCUUGGGAAAUGUAGCAAUCUGAGUCUCUGAUCACUUCCAAUGGUGCAUAGUUAAGACUGAAUUGCCACUAGUUUUUGGGACCAGGAGAAGGGUCCCUUCAUUGCCCUACAAUUGAAAGUGAACACAGUAUUAUAUGCGUUCUUAUUGUACUCGGAUUCCAAAGUCCAAACUGCAGCCUCCAAGUCUAAUGUCCUUUUGUUCAUACGAACCCAAGAUCAUAGUAUAAUAGUACAUGUAUGAUCUAAGCUUCCAGCUCUGCCUAUCAGUCAAGUGUAAAUAUUAGAUGCAUGUCCUUUUGGAUUGGGAGGUUUUGGAAUAUGGUCCCCCUCCUUUGUAUUCUUUUUUCUUUUAACAUGAAGGAGUGAUUGAAAAUUAGAAAUCAAGGACUCUCCUCUUCUAUGAUUUGAUUGAGUUCUAUCUCCCUCAUCAGUCAUUACCCUAAAAAUAAAAAUAGUUUAGCCCCAUCCUCUGAAUUGGUCAUUGAUCUCAGAUUAGGAUGUGUUAGACAACUUGAAAAUGGAACUGUUUAUUUUAUAUAAUUGUCAAUUCAAGAACUAUGCAUGCAAUAUAAAUAAAACUAUCUAGCAAAGAAGAAAUCAUUCAUCAGAAAAUGGGUUCAGACUCUCAUUACCAGAUUCCAGCCAUAGAAUUCUCAACCUGUUCAGCUAAAUUGGACCGCGGAACUGAAAAGUGGUUCGGUUUGUGCAAGAGGGUUAGAUAGGCUCGUGAAAACUAUGGUUUUUUUGAAGUAGUAUAUGAUAAAAUACCUGUGGAGUUUAGAGCAGAAGUCCUCUCUGUGACGAGGCAAUUUUAUGGCCUUCCACUUGAGACAGAGAAAAAAAAUGUCAAUCCAAAGUCUCACCAUGGUUAAUAUGGACAGUUCCCCAGGCUCCUUAAUUUGUACGAGAGCUUUGCCAUUGAAGAUGCCUCCAACUAUGAAUCCCUUACGAGCUUCACACAACAAAUGUGGCUUGAUGGUCAUGAUCAG
Molecule: long non-coding RNA, 1245 nt
Filed under: Fragaria vesca (wild strawberry)
Lineage: Eukaryota; Viridiplantae; Streptophyta; Magnoliopsida; Rosales; Rosaceae
Description: long non-coding RNA (FVES_LNC001013)
Source: RNAcentral